CUGGCGGGGCCGGUCGGGCGCGGUCGGACUGGGCCGGUUCGGCCCAUUUGGCCGGGCCGGUCCGGUUUUCUCUUCUUCUUUUUUUCCUUUAGCCCUUUUCUUUUUCUGUUUUUCUUAUUUCUUUGAUAUCUUUUGAUUUUGAACUCGAAAUUGGUCCAAACAAAUUCCAGAAAAUUUGUAAAAUCAUGUUCCACCAUGAUACAACUUUUGGGAGUAUUUUCCCCUCAAAAUAAAAUAUAUAAAAAUACAUUUGCCCUAUAAAUGCUUUUAGGGUUAUAUAUCCUUUUAAAUAAAAUACCUUUUCAACUCCAAAUAAUUACCCAAAAAUUAUGGGAUAGCUCAUAUGUGCAAUAAACCCCUUUUAUACAUAAACCCUAUUGGUUUGAAAAUCCAAUGCUUAAAUGGGUGUGAACAAAAUCUUUUAAAGUCUUUUGUGAUUCAAAUUUGAAUUCAAACAUGCAAUUGUGGCAUGAUGCUUAUGGAUGCAAUGCAUAUGAAAGGUUUUGAAUUUUUGGGAUGUUACAGACCUAACCCCCUUAAGAUGAAUCUCGUCCUCGAGAUUCGGUGUGGCUAGCAAAGAGGUGUGGGUGGUCUUCUCGAAGAUCAUCUUCGCGUUCCCAAGUGGCUUCUUCUUCUGUAUGAUGGUCCCACUGGACUUUGCAAAACUUGAUGGUCUUGGAUCGGGUCUGUCUCUCGGCUGUAUCCAAGGUCCUGAUCGGUUUCUCCUCAUAGGUGAGGUCACUCUGUAUCUGGACUUCCUCAAGUGGAAUUGUAUCCCUCAGGGGUGUUUCGGCCAUCUCUGGGUGACACUUCUUCAAUUGUGAUACGUGGAAGACGUUGUGGACAUUGGACAGUGCUUCCGGUAAAUCCAACUUGUAAGCUACCUCUCCUUGUCGCGACAAUAUCUUGAAAGGUCCAAUGAAGCGGGGUGCUAACUUUCCUUUUAUACCAAAUCUCUUCACUCCGCGUAUCGGCGAAACUCUGAGAUACGCCCUGUCUUCAGCUUCAUACGUAACCUCCCUACGUUUUGAAUCCGCAUAGCUCUUCUGUCUUGACUGAGAUUGGACAGUUCCAAAAGAUUCAGCUUCAAAUAUUCAAAUUUGAAAUUGGACAGUGCCAAAAGAUUCUACACUUCCUAAGGAUUCCAAAAAGGUGUGGAUCACUAAAUUUGGCCAAACAGAUUUAAAGUUAUGAUCAUUUGAAGUUACAGGGGCCUAUCUGCAAAAGUGCCUUUUAAUUAAUCCGGGGGAUUAAAAUUAGAUUUUUUAUUUUAUAAAAAUAGAUGCCACGUGGCGCGUUCCUGUCCGUCGGUACCGGUUCGGUUUAAGUGAAUAAGGACGAUCUAAUCUACACCGUUGAUCAACGAUCGGACGGACGAGGGGCGAGGGUUUUUACCGGGCGGCGGCGGUGGUCACCGGAGACGGAGGGGACGGCGGCGCGGGGGUGCUCCGGCGACGUGGGCGCGACGGGGAAGCGACGGGCGAGGGCGGCGCGGCACGGCGGACUCGGGGGCGGGGUCGGAGGCGCUCGGGGACGGCGGGGUGCUCGCCUAGGACGGCGAAGAGGCGGCGGCCGGCGGUGAGCUUCGGUCGAACGGCGACGGCGUCCGAGCUCGUCGGCGCGACGCGAAACGGCGGCGGGCUUGGAGCUUCUCCGGCGAGCGAUUCCGGCGGCCUGGGGCGUGCGAGCGAGGGCAAACGGGGGGGAAAAGAAGCGGGGUGCCCGGGCUUUAAAGCGACGCGGCCAGUGGGUUUCGGGAAGGCCGGAAUCUCCGGAUUCCGGUGAUUGCGGCGGCGCGGGGAGUCCGGCGCGGGCGGUGCGGGCGCCUUCCAAACGGAGCCUGACAGGUGGGCCCCACCUGUCAGCGUCUCCGCCCGCGCGCGCGGGCGGCCGGGCUGGCGGGGCCGGUUCGGCCCAUUUGGCCGGGCCGGUCCGGUUUUCUCUUCUUCUUUUUUUCCUUUAGCCCUUUUCUUUUUCUGUUUUUCUUAUUUCUUUGAUAUCUUUUGAUUUUGAACUCGAAAUUGGUCCAAACAAAUUCCAGAAAAUUUGUAAAAUCAUGUUCCACCAUGAUACAACUUUUGGGAGUAUUUUCCCUACCGGGCGGCGGCGGUGGUCACCGGAGACGGAGGGGACGGCGGCGCGGGGGUGCUCCGGCGACGUGGGCGCGACGGGGAAGCGACGGGCGAGGGCGGCGCGGCACGGCGGACUCGGGGGCGGGGUCGGAGGCGCUCGGGGACGGCGGGGUGCUCGCCUAGGACGGCGAAGAGGCGGCGGCCGGCGGUGAGCUUCGGUCGAACGGCGACGGCGUCCGAGCACGUCGGCGCGACGCGAAACGGCGGCGGGCUUGGAGCUUCUCCGGCGAGCGAUUCCGGCGGCCUGGGGCGUGCGAGCGAGGGCAAACGGGGGGGAAAAGAAGCGGGGUGCCCGGGCUUUAAAGCGACGCGGCCAGUGGGUUUCGGGAAGGCCGGAAUCUCCGGAUUCCGGUGAUUGCGGCGGCGCGAGGAGUCCGGCGCGGGCGGUGCGGGCGCCUUCCAAACGGAGCCUGACAGGUGGGCCCCACCUGUCAGCGUCUCCGCGCGCGCGCGCGGGCGGCCGGGCUGGCGGGGCCGGUCGGGCGCAGUCGGACCGGGCCGGUUCGGCCCAUUUGGCCGGGCCGGUCCGGUUUUCUCUUCUUCUUUUUUUCCUUUAGCCCUUUUCUUUUUCUGUUUUUCUUAUUUCUUUGAUAUCUUUUGAUUUUGAACUCGAAAUUGGUCCAAACAAAUUCCAGAAAAUUUGUAAAAUCAUGUUCCACCAUGAUACAACUUUUGGGAGUAUUUUCCCCUCAAAAUAAAAUAUAUAAAAAUACAUUUGCCCUAUAAAUGCUUUUAGGGUUAUAUAUCCAUUUAAAUAAAAUACCUUUUCAACUCCAAAUAAUUACCCAAAAAUUAUGGGAUAGCUCGUAUGUGCAAUAAACCCCUUUUAUACAUAAACCCUAUUGGUUUGAAAAUCCAAAGCUUAAAUGGUUGUAAACAAAAUCUUUUAAAGUCUUUUGUGAUUCAAAUUUGAAUUCAAACAUGCAAUUGUGGCAUGAUGCUUAUGGAUGCAAUGCAUAUGAAAGGUUUUGAUUUUUUGGGAUGUUACAGAGAGCGAGCGGGAAUGUCCGGUGUAUGACCCUGAACCGUAUGAACGGAUGGGUCAUCUAGCCAAUGUUAAUCACCAGGUGUCG
This 3205-nucleotide long non-coding RNA is filed under the name Brachypodium distachyon (stiff brome). Its description in RNAcentral is "long non-coding RNA (BDIS_LNC001787)". Lineage: Eukaryota; Viridiplantae; Streptophyta; Magnoliopsida; Poales; Poaceae. The record is from RNAcentral.